RNA transcript from Meriones unguiculatus (Mongolian gerbil), 2435 nucleotides. RefSeq lists it as uncharacterized. The record is from RefSeq and is a predicted model, not a curated record. NCBI's taxonomy places the organism in Eukaryota, Metazoa, Chordata, Mammalia, Rodentia, Muridae. The transcript is spliced from 2 exons.
UGUCGCACCAGCCACCACCUAGGGCCACAAGACGUCGCAGCCCGCGAUUCUCCUUUUCUGUACCCCGGAGCUGGAAGACAAGGGGACACAGCGGGCUGACCAAGUGGCCAUGUGGGGUCACAGAGCCACGGCGGGGUGGGGGAGGGGGCGUGUCUUUUCUCUCGAGGAACCCUCAGGGCGCCGGAAAGUUUUCCACCGCUCGGGGACACCGGAGGGUACAGUGUGAACCCCGCUGCCUAUGGCCCCCAAGUUCUAGAACUCUCCCGGCGCGCUGUGCCUCGGCUUCGCUGCCUGUCACGAACAGCACACACGCCCUCCGCCUGCCAGAUUGACCCAGGCUCCCUUAGGAACCCCACAAACAGGCUGGGCUUUAGGCUAGGGGAGGAGGCUCCCUGCAGACGGCGCGCCCCCGAUCGCGGGGUGCUGCCCACCCUGAACUUUGAUCGUGUGGAAAAGUGGGGACGGCAUUCCCCAAGAAGCAAGUUCGGGACCCCAGGAGGACAUCUUUUGAGGUCUGAGCGGACCUGGCUCUUCUGCAAGCACGCCCCGCAAAAAGUGUCUUCCCUGUAAAACUGAGGCCUCCAGACCCGAGUGGCCCUGUCCCCUCCUCACUGCAGAAGUUCAGCUGAGCUUGAGAGAGUGAUGUCCCCCAUCCUCGGCGCCUUUCCCGUGCUUAGCCGCCAAGCCAAGGCCAGAGGUGUGCAGGGAAAAUUUUAGAGAAACCGCAUCUUAUAAAUGUGAGGAUUUGAUCAGGCAGCACAGAUUACUCAAAGCGUUCCGUUUUUCUGCGAUCCAAUUUUAUUAGGAUUUAUUCUCAUUUGUGCCCGGCUUCUCUGGGGAAAUAAUGCUUUGAUUAAUGUAAUCCUGGCCCAGGAUCGCGCUUCACGCCCCUCGACCCUCUCCCAAGAGAAAGGGCCUGUUUGACAAACAAUAACAGAGGCGCAACUCUUGCAAUCUGCCCGCGCCUUUGGGGAUGGCUGGGAAGAGGGUGACGCUCGCUCACACCCUGCUCGCUGAAGGCGGUGUGCAGGGGCGAGAAAGAGGGGAGCCCUGUGGCGGCGAACUCUCCAGGCAGAGCCCCAGGCCUCCACGGCAGAGAUCUGCGCGCUGUGAUUGUGCAGUUCCGUGACCCCGACUACAUCUGUAGCGCCCACCCGCGGCCCCGCGGCACCGGAGAGCAGGUCUCAGGGGCUCACCAGCCGCGCCAACCUCAGACGCCCUGCAGCCGUCAAAACCCGAACCGGAAGCCCAGAACCAGGGACCCAACUCAGUGGUUUUCCUCAUCCAUCACCCAUGCAUCCAUUCAUCCUUGCAUGCAUGCAUGCCUGCAUGCCUGAAUACCAUACAAAUCGGUGGACAGAAGCGCGGAGAGUCCUUUGCCCAGCUACGGGCUGAGAACGGGCGCCCCCUCUGCAGCUCUCUCGCCUCCUGCUCAACCAAAACCCCCUCCGCGAGGAGAAAACAGCUCAAUUACGAAAGGAGCAGAGAAACGAAAUCCCGGGCUCAAACGCCCUGCCCACCGCGGCUUCUACGGUCCCCCUUUCUGUAACACCGUCCCCACCCCCACGGUCCCCAGCUCAGGGGCGGGCGGGGAGGCGGUGGCGCGAGGGGUCCUGCCCCGCUCCACGGAAACAAAGCCCGCCGCGGGAGCUCACGGCCGCCUCAGAGCGGGUGACAAAGGCAGGCAGGCGGUGCCAAGCUCCAAGGCAGUGCUCCUAUGGCCAGGCGGGAAGGAGGCCCAAAGAUGGGUGCAAUUUGCACCCAGAUUUUUCUGGGCUUCUCUCCUGUUUACCCAAAGACCUGUUGGGUGACUCAGCGUUUAUCUAUCUGGUCCUGCAACCUCAACAUCCUCGCUCCUCUCCUGGGCCCGCCCCAGGCUCCUCCACCUCGCCCCGCUUUUUUCUCCACCUUACUCCUAUUACCUCGGGCCCCCUCUGGCUUUGAGGGUUAGCUUUUUCCCCCUCGUCUUUUCCAUGGAAAAGCAAUGUUAACGGGACUUCUGCAGACCGCUCUAUGUUCAAAUAAUAUUCUAAAAGAUCUUUCUGGGAAGUCGCUGGCAGAAAGGGGGAAGUAUUGGGAGCCUUUUAAUUUUAUUAUGCAAACUGCACUCUAAAUAAAAUAGAAUGCCGUUAAAAUGCGUUCUAAGAAAGACAGACAGCCCCGAGGCCCAACAGAUUCCUGCUGAAUGCGGCAAAUGUCCCUGUCGGCUCCCACAAAUCAUAUAAAUGGUUGGGUCGGGGGAGGGGAGAAGACCCCCCUCCCCAUGCAAUAGAAACCCACCCCACAUAAGUGGACGCUCCAAGUGUCUGAGGCAAACCUUUCUAGGGGGGAAAAGUUCUAAUCUUGCAUUCUAACCCUGGAUGGGAAUUGCUGCCAAGACCCUACCAAUAAAAUCGUGCAAUUUUUGAAUUUAAGGUACUUUUAAAGUUUUGCUU